Small nucleolar RNA from Notolabrus celidotus (New Zealand spotty), 147 nucleotides. The record is from RefSeq and is a predicted model, not a curated record. Lineage: Eukaryota; Metazoa; Chordata; Actinopteri; Labriformes; Labridae.
UUUCAAUGAUGAUACGAUGACGAGACAGAACAGGACUGUCUGCUUCUGUGGGUUACUGGUUCGGGUCCACGUUCUGUGGUCCCGCUUCAGUUCCUCAGAUCAGCAGUUCUUCUCACGUGAAGACACAGAGGCAUUUGUCUGAGAAAG